Molecule: long non-coding RNA, 633 nt
Organism: Numida meleagris (helmeted guineafowl)
Lineage: Eukaryota; Metazoa; Chordata; Aves; Galliformes; Numididae
Exons: 4
Source: RefSeq, a predicted model, not a curated record
GGGUGGUGAAGCUGCCUGGGAGGAGCGGAGUCUGUUCCUUUCCUGGCCGCGGAGAAAGCACAUGGUCCUCCUGCAGUUUACUGUGUCUGGCUAAAAGAAACCAGAAGAAGUGAAGCUUCAUUUUCCCUGGUGAGACCAGACCUACAGAACAAAUGAAAGAGGUUUAAAUGCAUGCAACCACAGAGAUGGGAUGGCUCAGCAACUCCUGUUUGUCUGACAAGAAGAGAUACCUUUGUCCAAUGCCAGAUGUAAAUAAUUUGUUUGCUACUGAAGAAGUAUUCAUCUUGGCACUGGCCAGCAGGGCCUGUCUAGUGCCAAGAGUGAUUUCAGGAAACCCAGCAGAAUUGAGGCAGAGUUUCCUGGGAAUUAUGAUCCAGAGAAGAGCUGAGGGGCCACCUACUGCCCAGGAUCCCCAGAAUGGACAGCAAGGCAGGUGGGAUGGAAGUUCAUGGACACAAGCCAUGAGAUCCUUCUUAAUACUCAUCAGGGUAUGGGGGGUGCAAAACCGUCCUCCAAAUCGUAAUGGUUGAUUUUUAUGCAAGCAAAAAUUAAGGGUAUAUGAAUGUCAUUGUACUGAUCUGCAUGUCCCAUCCUGCUGAACUAAAUGAAUCUAAUAAGGACUUCUGUCCUUAC